Molecule: non-coding RNA, 80 nt
Organism: Purpureocillium takamizusanense
Lineage: Eukaryota; Fungi; Ascomycota; Sordariomycetes; Hypocreales; Ophiocordycipitaceae
Source: the annotation of a RefSeq genome assembly
GGCCGUGUGGCUCAAUGGCAGAGCGUCUGACUACGAUUGGGAUAAUCAGAAGGUUGCAGGUUCGACCCCUGUCUCGGUCA